AGUUUGAUCCUGGCUCAAGAUGAACGCUUGCUACCGGCUUCACUCAUGCUAGUCAAGGGGCACCGGGGAUGAUAGCUUGCUCUCAUCUGCCGGCUACCGGCCCACGGGUGACUAACUCUUUUGCGACCUGCCCGCUUCUCGGGGAUAACCCGAACAGAUUCCGUCUUAUACCGCAUAACGAGUUCCGGGGACAUCCCCGGGAUUCCGAAUGAGCGAUCUCCGUAGCCGUGUAUGUGGCAUGCUCUCCCAUUACAGUACUCUGGCGGUGUCACGGACCCCCAAUCCUACCAUGCGAUAGGGGUUCUGAGAGGAAGGUCCCCCACUCUGGUACUGAUACACCGACCAGACUCCUACAGGACGCAGCACCGACGAAUAUUGGUCUAUGGGCGGGAGCCUGAACCUACCCAUUCUCGUGAAGGAAGACGGCCCUAUGGGUUGUUCACCUCUUUUGUCCGGGAUCAAGGGCUGCCUCCUGUGGCAGGGCGAGAGUACCUGAAGAAGAAGCAUCGGCUAACUCCGUGCCAGCAGCCGCGGUAAUACGGAGGAUGCGAGCGUUAUCCGGAUUUAUUGGGUGUAAAGGGUGCGUAGGCGGUCUGGUAAGUCAGCGGUGAAAUUGCGAGGCUCAACCUCAUCGAGCCGUGAACACUGCCGGUCUUCAGUGGGCGAGAAGUAUGCGUAAUGUGUGGUGCAGCGGUGAAACGCAUAGAUAUCACUCUACAACUCCGAUGUCGAAGGCAGCAUGCUGGCGCCCAAAUUACGCUGAAGCAUGAAAGAGUGGAUAUUGAACAGGAUUAGAUACGUUGGUAGUCCACGCAGUAACCGAUGAAUACUAAUUGUUCGAGUCGAGUGAGACGUGAGUGAUACAGCGAAAGCGUUAAGUAUUCCAUCCUGGGAGUACGCCGGCAACGGUGAAACUCAAAGGAAUUGAGGGGGGCCAGCACAAGCGGAGGAACAUGUGGUUUAAUUGGAUGAUACGCGAGGAACCUUACCUGGGUUCAAAAGCAGGAGGAAUGUUUUCGAAAGGAGGCAGCUCUUUGGAGUAUCCUGCGAGGUGCUGUCAUGGUAGUAGUCAGCUCGUGCUCUCGAGGCGUAGGGUUAAGUGUCACAAUCGAGAGCUAACCCCUACAGUCAGUUCGCCAUCAAGUCAAGCCGUGCACUCUGACGGGAUCGCCGGCGCAAGCUUUGAGGAAGGCGGGGAUGAUUGUCAAAUCAGCCAGGCCCUUACGUCCGGGGAGACACAAGUGUCACAAAGGCAGGUACAGCGUGAAGCCACUUGGGGACAAGGAGCGGAACCCGAAAACCCGUUUCAGCUCUGAGUGGAGUUUGCAACCCUACUACAAGAAGCAGUAUUAGGUAGUAAUCGAGCAUCAGCCACGGAGCGGUGAAUAAGUUCCCGGCCUGAGCAAUCACCGCCCGUCAAG
RNAcentral lists this ribosomal RNA (1421 nucleotides) under uncultured bacterium. Its description in RNAcentral is "partial 16S ribosomal RNA". It matches the Rfam family "Bacterial small subunit ribosomal RNA". The record is from RNAcentral.